AUCUACCAAGAUUUUUCCAUGUUCGUCCUUAAUGCACUUCACUUGAUCCACAUUGCGUGCCCUCCUCUCCCGCGCCCUAGCUAGCCUGAAUAAUUUCCUAUCCCCACCUUUCUCUUCUAUUUCACCGUAAAGGCGUUCAAAAGCUGUCGUUUUUGCCGUCGAAAUCGCUGACUUCGCCUCCUUCCUCGCUAUCUUAUAAAGUUCGUUAUUCGUCCACUUCUCCACCUCAUCCGUGCUUUCUAUCAAUUUCGCGUACGUCAUUUUCUUUCCUUCCACCUUCCUUUGCACUUCUCCAUUCCACCACCAGUCCCCUUAAUGCCGACUACGACUACCUGUCGAUACUCCCAACACUUCCCUUGCUACAAUUCUAAUACAACUAGCCGUCCUAUCCCACAUACUGAUCGCAUCCCCACUACUAUCCCAGGCCCCCAUGUCCUUCAAUUUUUCUCCCAUCUCUAGGACACUAGCCGUGGUCAAACUUCCCCAUCUGAUCCUAGGUCGAUCAUCCUCUACCCUCUUCUUCUUCGUCAUCCUGAUCCCUAAAUCCAUCACCAAGAGCUUAUGUCGGGUUGUAAGGUUGUCUAUCGGAAAGACCUUACAGUCUUUGCACAGAUCUUUAUCAUCCUUUCUAAGGAGUAAAAAGUCUAUCUGAAUCUUAGCCACUGAACUAUGGAAGGUUACCAAGUGUUCCUUCUUCUUUGGGAAACUCGAAUUGGCUAUCACCAACCCAAAAGCUCUUGCAAAUUCCAAAAGUGAAACUCCUCCUCAAAAGAUAGAGCUAAGAAAACACUUGGCAAUUUUUAAGCUUCUCGUUUGAGAAGAAGUUUAAUUUGUUGGAGAAGAAAGAAAGAAAGAGAGAGAAAUUAGUAAACUAUUAUGGCUAUGGCGGAGCCGCUGGUGGUUAAUGUGGAGAAAGAAGAUGUGGCGGUGACAGGGGAAGUGUUUGUUGAAGAGGUGAAAAAGGCGAGUUGCAUAGCUUUGCCUAUGAUAGUUGUGACAGUAUCACAGUACCUUUUGCGUGUUUCACCAAUGAUAAUGUUAGGUCACCUUGGUGAACUUUCACUUUCUAGUGCUUCUAUUGCUACUUCAUUUUCCAACGUUACCGGUUACAGUAUACUUUUUGGAAUGUCUAGUGCGCUGGAGACUCUAUGUGGGCAAGGCCUAUGGAGCAAGACAAUAUCGAAAACUUGGAAGUUUUACUUAUACUGCUAUUAUUUGUCUGUUUCUGGUAUGCAUACCAGUCUCUGUUCUGUGGAUCUUUAUGGAUAAACUUCUUAUAUUGAUGGGCCAAGAUCCUUCAAUAGCAACUGAAGCUGGAAAAUACGCGAUUUGGCUCAUUCCUACACUAUUCCCAUAUGCUAUUCUUCAGUCACUUGUCCGGUAUCUGCAGGCACAGAGUUUAAUCCUACCAAUGCUUUUAAGUGGAGUUGUAUCUUUAUGCUUCCAAGUGCCGAUUUGUUGGGCUUUUGUAUUCAAAUUGAAUUUAGGGAUUGUCGGAGCAGCAUUGUCAAUUGGUUUAUCCUAUUGCUUGAAUGUGAUCUUGCUUAUGCUUUAUGUGAAGUACUCAUCAGCUUGAGAAGAGACUCGAGCCUCAUUCUCUAGGGAUGUUUUCCUGACUAUAGGGGACUUCUUCCAGUUUGCCAUCCCAUCUGCUGUAAUGGUUUGCUUGGAAUGGUGGGCAUUUGAGCUAAUCAUUCUGCUCUCUGGUCUGUUGCCAAAUCCGAUGCUAGAAACUUCCGUUCUUUCCAUAUGCCUUACAAUCACGUCUGUGCACUACCAUAUACCUUAUUCUUUCGGUGCUGCAGCAAGUACUCGGAUUUCAAAUGAGCUUGGAGCUGGGAGGCCACAGGCGGCAAAAAUUGCUCUUGCCGCUGUGAUAGUACUUUCUGCCACAGAGGUUGUUCUUGCAAGUACAACUCUAUUUGCGGUCCGUGAUGUAUGGGCCUAUGUGUUUACUUAUGAGAAAGAAGUGGCCACUUAUGUUGCAGAAAUUACUCCUAUUCUUUGCAUAUCAAUUAUCAUGGACGGCAUCCAAGCUUUACUAUCAGGAGUUGCCAGAGGAAGCGGGUGGCAGCAUAUUGGAGCCUAUGUGAACCUUGGAGCAUAUUAUUUGGUUGGAAUUCCCACGGCUUUAUUACUUGGACUUGUAUUGCAGCUAAAAGGCAAGGGGCUUUGGACUGGAUUGUUGGCUGGAGCAACUGUGCAAUCUAUUUCAUUCUCCCUUGUCAUAGGCUUCACCAAUUGGGAAAAACAGGCCAUUGAAGCAAGAUACAGAAUUUUUAGUGAAAAGCUUGCUGGCGAAAAUAAGUUCAUUGAAUUACAGGACAUGCAGAUGCUAUAGUGUGAAAUAAAGCUAUAACUUGCUUUGAUUUAGCAAGGAUCGUCUCUCAUCAUACUACCGAUUGGAAAAUUUUGAACAUGAUCCGUCUCUCAGGUAUUUAUUUAUUGUUCUUUUUCCUGCUUUUAGAUAAACCAGAUCAAUUUAUCCCAUUCAAGGAGAGAUUUUUUCUGAAUUUAUGUUUCUGUUCUCAGUGGAAUGAGGAAAAACUUUAGCAGAACAGUUUCAAUGUUGUUAGAUACAAUUUUCCUGUUUCCUUAGAUAUGUUGUCUCAUACGAUGAUCAGGGUAGAUUGAUGUUUAGC
Molecule: RNA transcript, 2642 nt
Organism: Solanum dulcamara
Lineage: Eukaryota; Viridiplantae; Streptophyta; Magnoliopsida; Solanales; Solanaceae
Gene name: protein DETOXIFICATION 9-like
Exons: 7
Source: RefSeq, a predicted model, not a curated record